This 308-nucleotide long non-coding RNA is filed under the name Lathyrus oleraceus (garden pea). RNAcentral's name for it is "Pisum sativum (pea) long non-coding RNA (PSAT_LNC006045)". The record is from RNAcentral. Lineage: Eukaryota; Viridiplantae; Streptophyta; Magnoliopsida; Fabales; Fabaceae.
CACCCAUUAGAUAGAACCCUUUGUAUGAUAACAUAGGUAGGAUUCCCUUAUUCUUUUAUAUGAUAACAUAGGUAGAAUUCCCAUAUUCUUUGCAUGCCAACAUUAGGUAGAUGUUCCCAUUUGUAAAUCCUAACACCUAAGUACAUAUUGCAUGACAACUCUAGGGCAGAGCUUCCCCCAUUUCUUUUAGACCUUCCGUGCGUCUCCGAUCUUGUGGCAUGUCAGUCCGUCCUAUUGCAAAGAGGUAACUGCCUAAGACUCGAUUCAGCGAGCUGCGACACCUACUGCUAGGACGUGAACACAUUGCC